Molecule: transfer RNA, 88 nt
Filed under: Kitasatospora aureofaciens
Lineage: Bacteria; Bacillati; Actinomycetota; Actinomycetes; Kitasatosporales; Streptomycetaceae
Description: tRNA-Cys(gca)
Source: RNAcentral
GCUCUCGGCACCGGGUGGACCGGGGCCUGCUGCAGCCGGGCCCGUGGCCGUGCCUGUGGCGCCGCCGUCCGUUCCGGUGCCGCAGGCG